This 468-nucleotide ribosomal RNA is filed under the name uncultured bacterium. Its description in RNAcentral is "partial 16S ribosomal RNA". It matches the Rfam family "Bacterial small subunit ribosomal RNA", at positions 28 to 507 of the family's 1533-position model. The record is from RNAcentral.
GACGAACGCUGGCGGCGUGCUUAACACAUGCAAGUCGAACGGAAAGGCCCUGCGUUUGUGGGGUGCUCGAGUGGCGAACGGGUGUGUAACACGUGAGGAACCUGCACUUGAAUUUGGGAUAACUUCAGGAAACUGGGGCUAAUACCGGAUAGGAGCUCCUGCUGCAUGGUGUGGGUUGGAAAGAUUCGGCGGUAGGGGAUGGACUCGCGGCUUAUCCGCUGGAUGGUGGGGUAGUGGCGUACCCAGGCUUUGACGGGUAGGCGGCCUGAGAGGUUGACCGGCCACAAUGGGACUGAGAGACGGCCCAGAAUGCUACGGGAGGCAGCAGUGGGGAAUAUUGCACAACGGGCGGAAGUCAGAUGCAGCAACGCUGCGUGCGUGAUGCCGGCCUUCUGGGUGUAAACCACUUUCGACUGUGAUGUAGCGUGCUUGACGGUAAUGGGUAAAGAAGCCCCGGCUAACUACGUG